This 253-nucleotide ribosomal RNA is filed under the name uncultured bacterium. RNAcentral describes it as "partial 16S ribosomal RNA". It matches the Rfam family "Bacterial small subunit ribosomal RNA", at positions 524 to 776 of the family's 1533-position model. The record is from RNAcentral.
UACGGGGGGGGCAAGCGUUGUUCGGAAUUACUGGGCGUAAAGCGCGUGUAGGCGGCUUUGCAAGUCGGGUGUGAAAUCCCACGGCUCAACCGUGGAAGUGCAUUCGAAACUGCGAGGCUAGAGUCCUGGAGAGGAAGGUGGAAUGCUUGGUGUAGAGGUGAAAUUCGUAGAUAUCAAGCGGAACACCGGUGGCGAAGGCGGCCUUCUGGACAGUGACUGACGCUGAGACGCGAAAGCGUGGGGAGCAAACAGG